This 1670-nucleotide unclassified non-coding RNA is filed under the name Leishmania donovani. Its description in RNAcentral is "gene:unknown". Lineage: Eukaryota; Euglenozoa; Kinetoplastea; Trypanosomatida; Trypanosomatidae. The record is from RNAcentral.
CCGAGUGUGUGUCUUCUGUCGAGUACCGUCCCUAUCGCGGUGUAUCUGAGCUAAUAUCUGUGUGCGUCGCCCUUACUCUGCACGCGCGUGUGUUUUUGGCUGCUUUGAUGCUUUUUCGUACGGCAUUUGUUUUCUUCCUUUUCUUGAUGGAGCCUGCCUCCACGGUGCACGUGGGAUACGUAUGCGCAGGUGCCCGUUGGCGUGUGCGCCAUAAACAUCUCUACGUAUGUGCAUAUGUGUGUGUGUGUGUGCCUUUAUUCUUCCUUUGAUGUUGUGUGCAUGUGCGCAUCCUUUUUGUUUCGGCGGCACAGCUCCGUGUGCACGCCUGUGCAUGUGGUGACUCUUCGUGCUCUCUUAUGCUGUGUUGGCCGCUGGCGCCCCCCUUCCUCAUCCUUCUCCCCCUCUGCGUGAGUGCGGCCGCCUCCAUUUCGUAUUUCCAAUCCUCAUCCCCUGUUGUGACCCCCUCCCUCUUCAUUGUGUCUUUUUUUGUCUCUGUAGGUGCACGGGCUUGGAGAGUGUGCGCGGUAUCGUAUCAUCACGUGCUGCCCCCCUUCCCUCCUGCUUUCGAGCAUCGCGUUUGUUCUCUCCAGCGGCCGGCAGUGGGCGCGAAUUGGGCGAAUGCAUGCGCGCGGGGGGGGAGAGGCGGUGGCGGGUCUUGCAUCAUUUCGCUGUGCGAGACACUCUGCGUUGUGUCCUGGUGCAUGCUCGGGUUUCCCUUCUUAUUUCUUGACUUGGCGAGAACUGCGGCCGAUUCCGUGCUUUUUUCUUUAUCCGCUUCUUGCGUGUGCCUCUGCUGACGUGUGUGAAAUUCGAGUGUCCGCGUACGCCCCCCACCCUCUACUCUCUCUCUCUCUGUGUUGUGGAGGAGUGGGCGGCGGAAGCCAGGCAGCCCCUCCCUCCUCCAGCCCUGCCGAUUGCCUGACCCCACUUCUCGCUGUGGCAGGGCCGCGCGCAUGAGACUUGGGGAGGUCAGUGCGAUGCGUCGCUACUGAUGCCGGCGGUGAGGUCGUGGGUGGUGCUGCCUCGGAGCGACCUGCGACCGUGCACACGCUUGUGCCACCCAUGUGACUGGGCAGCGUGACUCGAACGCAUCCCACACCCGACCCUCACACGGCCCACUGGUGCUGCGGGGAGCCUGCGCCACUCGUGGGGACGCACCAGGUGGCGGCCGACAUGAUGCGGCUGGCUGCGAGGCGACGUGCGAAGCGCAGGGGUGGGUGGAGUUGGAGGCAAAGGCCGCGCCGAUAUGACCUUGCCUGCAUUGUUAUCGCGCAUAUGCACACGGCUGCCUCGCGCCGCGCGGAUGGGCGUGUGUGUGUGUGUGACCGGCGGGGCAGAGUGCGGCGUUCAGCUCGUGCUGCAUGGCGGAGAAAUGGCAUCGCUGAACGAACAAGAAAUGAAGUGAGUCGAACUCUCCCUUUCGCGUUGCUCUUUCCUGGCUCCACGCAGGCAGACGCACGAGCGUCCACAAGGCGUACGCGGCGUUGGUAUGAGGGGCGGCUCGAGGCCUUUUCGUUCGUUACUCUUCGUGCACGGAUCUCGUCCGGCUGACUUCUUGUGCACCGCCUCGCCACUGUGCAACGUGAAGAAGCAGAGGGGUGAACGAGACACAAAAGGGUGACGGCAACGCAGCGGCUCGACGGACUUGCCCGUGCACAGAGGUGCACCUG